ACGACCUUACUUGAACAGGAUCUGUUCUAUAGGCUCGUACCUCUGUGUCCAUAAGUUCAAAGGAGACAGGAUUCUAAGUCUGGUUGAUGAACCACGACUGUGUGAUCUGAGCGUGAUUACUGGUCCGGUGAUGCCCUUGCUGGCUCUCCUCGACCGCAGAGGAUCGUUCUCAGCUUGCCUUGUGCUGCUGGGAAGGUCACACAGUUGUCUGACAGACU
Molecule: non-coding RNA, 218 nt
Organism: Gossypium hirsutum (cotton)
Lineage: Eukaryota; Viridiplantae; Streptophyta; Magnoliopsida; Malvales; Malvaceae
Source: Rfam